Molecule: long non-coding RNA, 294 nt
Filed under: Mytilus galloprovincialis (Mediterranean mussel)
Lineage: Eukaryota; Metazoa; Mollusca; Bivalvia; Mytilida; Mytilidae
Source: RNAcentral
GGUGUAUUUCUAUUAGCUUUUUUUAAAGUCAUUUUCAUUUAUUUUUCAACCCGGCCCAGAAAUAUGUUUAAUAUAGCUGAUUUAGAGAAAGGCGACCUGGGUCACCUCUAACAAAGGCUAUAUUUAUUGUCACUGCAAACAUUUUACCUGUUCAACACCAAAUGCUGUCAAGUUUGGGGCCCCUGGCCAUGGCUCUUUUUUUUUCAUAAUUCAUCUUACAUGUACAUCUCCUUUGAAUUUGUUUGCUUAUUUGUUCUAUGGUCUAUCUAUGCAUAUCUAUCUAUAUACCACAUU